GAUGAAGAACGUAGCGAAAUGCGAUAAGUAAUGUGAAUUGCAGAAUUCAGUGAAUCAUCGAAUCUUUGAACGCACAUUGCGCCCGCCAGUAUUCUGGCUGGCAUGCCUGUUCGAGCGUCAUUACAACCCUCAGGCCCCCGGGCCUGGCGUUGGGGAUCGGCGGAGCCCCCCGUGGGCACACGCCGUCCCCCAAAUGCAGUGGCGGUCCCGCCGCAGCUUCCAUCGCGUAGUAGCUAACACCUCGCGACUGGAGAGCGGCGCGGCCACGCCGUAAAACACCCAACUCUUCUGAAGUUGACCUCGAAUCAGGUAGGAAUACCCGCUGAACUUAAGCAUAUCAAUAGGCGGAGGA
Molecule: unclassified non-coding RNA, 352 nt
Filed under: soil metagenome
Description: partial contains 5.8S ribosomal RNA, internal transcribed spacer 2, and large subunit ribosomal RNA
Rfam family: 5.8S ribosomal RNA (bases 1-120)
Source: RNAcentral